Molecule: ribosomal RNA, 2931 nt
Filed under: Shigella flexneri
Lineage: Bacteria; Pseudomonadati; Pseudomonadota; Gammaproteobacteria; Enterobacterales; Enterobacteriaceae
Description: 23S ribosomal RNA
Rfam family: Bacterial large subunit ribosomal RNA
Source: RNAcentral
GGGUUGUGAGGUUAAGCGACUAAGCGUACACGGUGGAUGCCCUGGCAGUCAGAGGCGAUGAAGGACGUGCUAAUCUGCGAUAAGCGUCGGUAAGGUGAUAUGAACCAUUAUAACCGGCGAUUUCCGAAUGGGGAAACCCAGUGUGAUUCGUCACACUAUCAUUAACUGAAUCCAUAGGUUAAUGAGGCGAACCGGGGGAACUGAAACAUCUAAGUACCCCGAGGAAAAGAAAUCAACCGAGAUUCCCCCAGUAGCGGCGAGCGAACGGGGAGCAGCCCAGAGCCUGAAUCAGUGUGUGUGUUAGUGGAAGCGUCUGGAAAGGCGUGCGAUACAGGGUGACAGCCCCGUACACAAAAAUGCACAUAUUGUGAGCUCGAUGAGUAGGGCGGGACACGUGGUAUCCUGUCUGAAUAUGGGGGGACCAUCCUCCAAGGCUAAAUACUCCUGACUGACCGAUAGUGAACCAGUACCGUGAGGGAAAGGCGAAAAGAACCCCGGCGAGGGGAGUGAAAAAGAACCUGAAACCGUGUACGUACAAGCAGUGGGAGCACGCUUAGGCGUGUGACUGCGUACCUUUUGUAUAAUGGGUCAGCGACUUAUAUUCUGUAGCAAGGUUAACCGAAUAGGGGAGCCGAAGGGAAACCGAGUCUUAACUGGGCGUUAAGUUGCAGGGUAUAGACCCGAAACCCGGUGAUCUAGCCAUGGGCAGGUUGAAGGUUGGGUAACACUAACUGGAGGACCGAACCGACUAAUGUUGAAAAAUUAGCGGAUGACUUGUGGCUGGGGGUGAAAGGCCAAUCAAACCGGGAGAUAGCUGGUUCUCCCCGAAAGCUAUUUAGGUAGCGCCUCGUGAAUUCAUCUCCGGGGGUAGAGCACUGUUUCGGCAAGGGGGUCAUCCCGACUUACCAACCCGAUGCAAACUGCGAAUACCGGAGAAUGUUAUCACGGGAGACACACGGCGGGUGCUAACGUCCGUCGUGAAGAGGGAAACAACCCAGACCGCCAGCUAAGGUCCCAAAGUCAUGGUUAAGUGGGAAACGAUGUGGGAAGGCACAGACAGCCAGGAUGUUGGCUUAGAAGCAGCCAUCAUUUAAAGAAAGCGUAAUAGCUCACUGGUCGAGUCGGCCUGCGCGGAAGAUGUAACGGGGCUAAACCAUGCACCGAAGCUGCGGCAGCGACGCUGAUGCGUUGUUGGGUAGGGGAGCGUUCUGUAAGCCUGUGAAGGUGUGCUGUGAGGUAUGCUGGAGGUAUCAGAAGUGCGAAUGCUGACAUAAGUAACGAUAAAGCGGGUGAAAAGCCCGCUCGCCGGAAGACCAAGGGUUCCUGUCCAACGUUAAUCGGGGCAGGGUGAGUCGACCCCUAAGGCGAGGCCGAAAGGCGUAGUCGAUGGGAAACAGGUUAAUAUUCCUGUACUUGGUGUUACUGCGAAGGGGGGACGGAGAAGGCUAUGUUGGCCGGGCGACGGUUGUCCCGGUUUAAGCGUGUAGGCUGGUUUUCCAGGCAAAUCCGGAAAACUAAGGCUGAGGCGUGAUGACGAGGCACUACGGUGCUGAAGCAACAAAUGCCCUGCUUCCAGGAAAAGCCUCUAAGCAUCAGGUAACAUCAAAUCGUACCCCAAACCGACACAGGUGGUCAGGUAGAGAAUACCAAGGCGCUUGAGAGAACUCGGGUGAAGGAACUAGGCAAAAUGGUGCCGUAACUUCGGGAGAAGGCACGCUGAUAUGUAGGUGAAGUCCCUCGCGGAUGGAGCUGAAAUCAGUCGAAGAUACCAGCUGGCUGCAACUGUUUAUUAAAAACACAGCACUGUGCAAACACGAAAGUGGACGUAUACGGUGUGACGCCUGCCCGGUGCCGGAAGGUUAAUUGAUGGGGUCAGCGCAAGCGAAGCUCUUGAUCGAAGCCCCGGUAAACGGCGGCCGUAACUAUAACGGUCCUAAGGUAGCGAAAUUCCUUGUCGGGUAAGUUCCGACCUGCACGAAUGGCGUAAUGAUGGCCAGGCUGUCUCCACCCGAGACUCAGUGAAAUUGAACUCGCUGUGAAGAUGCAGUGUACCCGCGGCAAGACGGAAAGACCCCGUGAACCUUUACUAUAGCUUGACACUGAACAUUGAGCCUUGAUGUGUAGGAUAGGUGGGAGGCUUUGAAGUGUGGACGCCAGUCUGCAUGGAGCCGACCUUGAAAUACCACCCUUUAAUGUUUGAUGUUCUAACGUUGACCCGUAAUCCGGGUUGCGGACAGUGUCUGGUGGGUAGUUUGACUGGGGCGGUCUCCUCCUAAAGAGUAACGGAGGAGCACGAAGGUUGGCUAAUCCUGGUCGGACAUCAGGAGGUUAGUGCAAUGGCAUAAGCCAGCUUGACUGCGAGCGUGACGGCGCGAGCAGGUGCGAAAGCAGGUCAUAGUGAUCCGGUGGUUCUGAAUGGAAGGGCCAUCGCUCAACGGAUAAAAGGUACUCCGGGGAUAACAGGCUGAUACCGCCCAAGAGUUCAUAUCGACGGCGGUGUUUGGCACCUCGAUGUCGGCUCAUCACAUCCUGGGGCUGAAGUAGGUCCCAAGGGUAUGGCUGUUCGCCAUUUAAAGUGGUACGCGAGCUGGGUUUAGAACGUCGUGAGACAGUUCGGUCCCUAUCUGCCGUGGGCGCUGGAGAACUGAGGGGGGCUGCUCCUAGUACGAGAGGACCGGAGUGGACGCAUCACUGGUGUUCGGGUUGUCAUGCCAAUGGCACUGCCCGGUAGCUAAAUGCGGAAGAGAUAAGUGCUGAAAGCAUCUAAGCACGAAACUUGCCCCGAGAUGAGUUCUCCCUGACUCCUUGAGAGUCCUGAAGGAACGUUGAAGACGACGACGUUGAUAGGCCGGGUGUGUAAGCGCAGCGAUGCGUUGAGCUAACCGGUACUAAUGAACCGUGAGGCUUAACCUUACAACGCCGAAGGUGUUU